AUAAAGCCAGUCUCUGAUGCCUACACACAGACUAUACAGUGUGAUGGAAUACAGGCAAAACUUGAAUGAUUAUGAAAUAGGAUUCUAUCCACUGGCUGGCAUGCUGGAAAGCUUUAUGGUCCUCUUGGCACGUGCUACAGUGGGGACUCACAACAGCUCUAUGACAUCAUUGGAAGAGUGAAGUAAAGUACUGGAUGUUUAACUGUAAAGGAGCUUCUUCAAAUGGGAGAAAAGAUGGGAGAUACAUGCCAACAGUGAGUCCAUGCAGAAGUGGCAUCAUAACUGGUGACUAGAAGUGGAAUAAGAGAUUCUUCCUGCAUCACGACUGCUAUAGCACACAGUCAGAAGGAGCAAGUGACUCACUCACACAGCUGCUUGGAGCUACAAUGCCACACAGCCUUUGUCGACCAGCUAUUCCCUGUGAAAGAAGCCUAGUCAGUUUGACCUCUCUUCUGCAUCUUCUAAACUCUUGGCCAAGAUCUUCUGGAAGAUGCUUUCUCACAUCUGAUUUCCUACAAAGUGCCUGCCACAAUCUCGCCCAUCUCUCGCCAACUGGUAUACUGUCUCUGCUUUCCAAAAUUCUAGAUACUCAACAUCAACUCCUACAGAAGACAAAGAAUUAAUAAGAAGUAUGUCCAGAAGACACUAGCCCCACUCUUCCAACCCCAUCACUGUGCUCAGUAGAUUCCCUGGUUUAUAAUCCAACUGGAAGAACUGAGGCAGGCACUCCUGUAUGCUGGCUCCCCAUAUAUGACCAACCACUCACAUAUAAGGUCGGAUGCUCUCCUUUC
This 791-nucleotide long non-coding RNA is filed under the name Rattus norvegicus (Norway rat). RNAcentral describes it as "long non-coding RNA NONRATT028106". The record is from RNAcentral. Lineage: Eukaryota; Metazoa; Chordata; Mammalia; Rodentia; Muridae.